UCGGAUCCCCGGGUUCUGAGGUUUUUCAUUUAAAUUUGAAUGUGUACAACUAGGUUACAAGGACAGGGAUUUUGUUUUGUUCCGUAACGUAUUCCCAGGGUUGGAACAGAGCCGGACGUACACUAGGCACUCAACAAAUAUUUGUUGAAAGAUUUUAAUGAGUAACACCCACCCAUUUUUGCAGCUCUUGUUUCCUAGCGAGGGCAGAGUUCAUCACUGAGAAGGCGAAAUUCUGAAAAUGGGAGUCUACAGAUGUGGUUGCCAAAGAGAUCACAUUUUCUACUCCCUGGACAAAUCCAACCUCUCUGAAGUAAUCUCUACACCCUACGUGAGACUCAAACUUAGGACCCGGAGAUCAAGAGUCACAAGCUCUUCCAACGGAGCCAGCCAGUCACGUCCGUGACUCCAGUCACGGAGUCAACCAGUUCACCCUGGUUGAACUUUGACAACCAGUAGUACUUACUCAUGCUUAGAGCUUGGGAAAGAGGUUGGGUGAGGGUAUCCAUCAGUUACACUGACGUUAGAGGGAAGAAUAACAUUUCCAAAAUAGAACUGCUCCCGGUAAUAGGACAUCCCUUUCUGGUUCGAGUCUGUAUCCCUGCUUUAGAAUCUAAUUUGAAUCGGCAUCCGUUUCUGCAAACAAUAUUUUGACUCAUUCUGAAAGGCAUCCCCCCAAAACCAUUGGCACUUCCUCUGUGGUGUGGCCCAUCGUGUUGAUGAGAGAGAGAGCAGAAGGGAGAUCUUUCUCUUUAUAAACAUAAAUAACAAUAAUAAAGUAGCUUUAUUUAUUAAACCGACACACCUAUCUCAUGUGAUUCUCACAACAACCAAAUCAGGUACAAA
Neogale vison (American mink) is the source of this 843-nucleotide long non-coding RNA. RefSeq lists it as uncharacterized. The record is from RefSeq and is a predicted model, not a curated record. The transcript is spliced from 3 exons. Lineage: Eukaryota; Metazoa; Chordata; Mammalia; Carnivora; Mustelidae.